RNAcentral lists this long non-coding RNA (922 nucleotides) under Cricetulus griseus (Chinese hamster). Its description in RNAcentral is "lncRNA (ENSCGRG00015030758.1)". Lineage: Eukaryota; Metazoa; Chordata; Mammalia; Rodentia; Cricetidae. The record is from RNAcentral.
CAAAGAUUCUCCUCAACAACAGUUCUUUCUGAUAGGCUCCUGUAAUUUUCCACCAACAGUUGGUACCCAAGCUUCUUUUAAGCAGACACAACUUUCAUAUGCUCUAAAUGUGGGUAAACCAGUCGCAAAAGCCUUGUACUCUCACGUGUUUGGCUCCAGACAUGGGAAGGUAAAUUAAAAAGAAAUCAGCACUGAAGGAGAGAAUGAGGAAGUCAUAGAGUGCACACACCCAGUCUGGGCCAAGGGUGUGCACUGAAGAUAAGCCAGUCCUACCUGCCUGUCCUGAUGUACCCAGACCUGGAUCCAUGGGUAAGAAACCCCCACCUGGGUGGGAGGUGAUGGCACACACUUUUAAUCCUAGCACACAGGAGGAAAAGGAAGGCAGAUCCCCUCAAUCCAAGGCCAGCCUGGUCUACAAAGUGAGUUCCAGGAUGGCCAGUACUACACAGAGAAACCCUGUCUCAAAAAAAAAACAAAAAAACAACAACAAAAAAAACCAAGAAACCCUCACCCCCAAGAGAUAUGGAAGACAACGUGCCCUUCUAAGCCUGCAAGACAGAUUGAUGAUGCCUAGCCCAAUUGUCAUCAGAGAGCCUUCACCUAGCAACGGAUGGAAACAGAUGCAGAGACCCUCAGCCAAACAUUAGGCAGAGCUUGGGGAAUCCUACAGAAGAGAGGGAGAAAGGAUUGUAGGAGCCAGAAGGGUCAAGGACAUCACAACAAAACCCACAGAAUCAACUAACUGGGCUUAUAGGGGCUCAUAGAGACUGGACUGACAACCAUGGAGCCUACAUGGGACCGACCUAUAACCUCUGCACACAUGUUACAGUAGUGUAGCUUGGUCUUCUUGUGGGACUCCUAACAGAGGGAGCAGGGGAUGUCUCUGACUCUAUUACCUGCUUUUGGGAUGCUUUCCUCCUAG